AGCAGUAGCCGCGGUAAUACGUAGGGUGCGAGCGUUAAUCGGAAUUACUGGGCGUAAAGCGUGCGCAGGCGGUUUUGUAAGACAGGCGUGAAAUCCCCGGGCUCAACCUGGGAAUGGCGCUUGUGACUGCAAAGCUAGAGUGCGGCAGAGGGGGAUGGAAUUCCGCGUGUAGCAGUGGAAUGCGUAGAUAUGCGGAGGAACACCGAUGGCGAAGGCAAUCCCCUGGGCCUGCACUGACGCUCAUGCACGAAAGCGUGGGGAGCAAACAGGAUUAGAUACCCGAGUAGUCCCUGUCUCUUAUAC
Molecule: ribosomal RNA, 303 nt
Filed under: uncultured bacterium
Lineage: Bacteria
Description: partial 16S ribosomal RNA
Rfam family: Bacterial small subunit ribosomal RNA
Source: RNAcentral